Molecule: long non-coding RNA, 1526 nt
Organism: Ictalurus punctatus (channel catfish)
Lineage: Eukaryota; Metazoa; Chordata; Actinopteri; Siluriformes; Ictaluridae
Exons: 3
Source: RefSeq, a predicted model, not a curated record
CAAGGGAAACAAAUUGAAAUGUGGAGAGGUGGUUCUCAAUAGUCAACCAUCAAGCCGUCAAAAUUCAAAUAUAAACUGACCCGUCGCUGCGGGGGUUUCCUCCGGGUGCUCCGGUUUCCUCCCCCAGUCCAAAGACAUGCACGGUAGGCGGAUCGGCGUGUCUAAAGUGUCCGUAGUGUAUGAAUGGGUGUGCGAGUGUGUAUGUGAUUGUGUGCCCUGCGAUGGAUUGGCACCCUGUCCAGGGUGUACCCCGCCUUGUACUCGAUGCUCCCUGGGAUAGGCUCCAGAUUUCCCCGUGACCCUGAAAAGGAUAAGCGGUAUAGAAGAUGGAUGGAUGGACUAACCCGUACAAGGCCAUAUGCUUUUCACCACACACAAGAGUCUAGAAUAGUUGAAUGUAUGAAUGAAUGAAUGAAUUCAUUAAUCCAUCCAUCCAUCCAUCCAUCCAUCCAUAAUUUUAACUUUCAGGCCAGACUUUUUCAAACCAACCUCAAAGUUUUUCUACAAAACUUUGUUUUGUAGUUUCAUUCUAGGUUCAUCUGUUUUUUUAAUUUUUUUUUUAUCUUGCACAGUAUCUCCAUGCGGCAUCCAGCCAGAUGUUUGUGGUAGACCCAGCAGGACAUGAUAAAGAAGCAAAAUCCAUGCAUGCAGCGACUAAAUUUCAGUAAUAUUUUUAGCUUGUUAUAAACUGUACCUAAAAAGAUGGGUUACAAAUUAGAAGAAAAAAAAUAAAAAGCGUGACUGUGUGAAGAGGCCCACUUCUUUUUGAUGUGUUUUCUUGUCACAGGGUAUUGAACGGUGAAUGAUAUGAUGUGUCCUUGUGUCCUUUUCUAUUACCGGAUCGUUAAUAAAUUAAACAAAAAAUUCGAUUUUGGACCAAACUGUCAGCGCUCUCCAGUAUCAUCUUGAAAAUAUGGCGUUUCCAAAUAUCCCUUGCCGUUUGACCAUAAACUCAUCCAAGGAGCGCAUGGAACAUCUGCGACUGACAAUGGCAGAGGAGCUUCUGAAAGCCGCAGAGCGAACAUAUAACUGCAUGUUUUCAGUAUUCAAGAGGGGACACUACUGCUCAUUAUGUGCUGCCUCAAAAUCCCCGGGUGGUGGUGCAAAAACAUUUUGGGUGGGUAAUGUAGCAAUGGUUAUACCAUUUUUAUGGGCACACCAUUUUGUUUACGAGUGUGUGUUGUGUGUGUAAGAGAGUGAGUGAAUGAAAGAGAGAGACUGAGAGAGAGGGUGAGAGAGUGAGAGAGAAACUAAUUGAUUACUGAGCGAUUUGAUAAGAUUACUAUGAUCAUUUUUCAGAUUGAAUGUCACUGCUGCAAGACGGGGUUUCAUGUGGCAUGCCUUUCUUUGUCAGCGAAGCAGUUUAAAAGGGCUCAAAAGGUUGACUGGAAGUGCUGCCUAUGUAAAUCAUUUUGAAUUCCUUUGGCUCCCAUCCACAAACUAGACAUGUACGUUAAUAAAUGAAAAGAAAACAAAUAAAAAUGUUUGAAAUAUGAAAAUAUUCGUGGAUCAUCAUUGCUUUUAAU